RNAcentral lists this long non-coding RNA (20450 nucleotides) under Solanum tuberosum (potato). RNAcentral's name for it is "long non-coding RNA (STUB_LNC005550)". Lineage: Eukaryota; Viridiplantae; Streptophyta; Magnoliopsida; Solanales; Solanaceae. The record is from RNAcentral.
CACUGCCAAAAAUCAGUCCCACCAGACCUCACUGUAAUUCAAGGUACUCUUCCAACUAAUUCUAUUUCUAAUUCCUUAGAUCUAGAUCUACCUAUUGCGAAACGCAAAGGUGUUAGAUUUACUUCUAAAUAUCCUAUGUCUAUGUUUGUGUCCUACAAAAAGUUGUCUCCUAGUUAUUCAGCCUUUACUUCACAACUCUCUAGUGUGGAGAUUCCAACAAAUGUGCAUGAUGCUCUACAAGUUCCCGAGUGGAAGGAGGCUAUUUUGGAGGAAUUGCGAGCUCUUGAAACAAAUGAGACAUGGGAGUUAGUGGAUUUACCCGAGGGAAAGAAACCAGUGGGUUGUAAAUGGGUGUUCACCACCAAACUCAAAUCAGACGGAUCCUUGGAAAGGUAUAAGGCCCGCCUAGUAGCUAAGGGAUUCACGCAGACAUAUGCUAUUGACUAUCUCGAGACGUUUGCUCCAGUAGCUAAGCUAAACUCAAUUAGAGUUCUGUUGACAAUCGCAGUAAAUCUCGACUGGUCUCUUUAGCAAUUGGAUAUGAAGAAUGUUUUCUUGAACGGGCACCUAGAGGAAGAAGUCUAUAUGGAUCCCCCACCAGGUUUUGAUGGGAAGUACAAGUCAAAGAUAUGUAGGCUUAGAAGAUCUCUUUAUGGUCUAAAACAAUCUCCAAGGGCUUGGUUCGAAAGGUUUACUCAAUUUGUGAAAAAGCAAGGGUAUGUGCAGGGACAAGCAGAUCACACAAUGUUUACUCGACAUUCACUGGAAGGAAAACAACCGUUCUUAUAGUGUAUGUUGACGAUAUUAUCCUCACAGGAGAUGAUGUGGUUGAGAUAAAAAAUCUAAGGGAACGCCUUGCCUUAGAAUUUGAGAUAAAGGACUUAGGCCCGCUAAAGUACUUUCUUGGCAUGGAGGUUGCACGAUCGAAGAAAGGAAUUAUAGUGUCACAAAGGAAGUAUGUUCUUGAUCUGUUAAAAGAAACAGGAAUGAGUGGUUGUAGACCAAUUGAAACUCCAAUUGAUCCAAAUCUGAAAUUUGUAAAGGAAGGAAAAUUGAUUUAUAAGGGCCAAUAUCAGAGAUUGGUAGGCAAGUUGAUUUACUUGUCACAUACUAGACCUGAUAUUUCCUUUGUUGUGAGCCUAGUCAGUCAGUUCAUGCAUUCUCCACGAGAAGAACACCAAGAAGUUGUGUAUCUAAUCCUAAGGUAUCUAAAAAGUUCACCUGGGAAAGGGUUGUUCUUCAAGAAGAAUGAGCAAAGAAGUCUUGAGGCUUAUACGGAUGCAGAUUGGGCUGGUUCAUCUAUUGAUAGGAGGUCUACAUCUGGAUAUUGUACAUUUGUUUGGGAAAUUUGGUGACAUGGAGAAGUAAGAAGCAAAAUGUGGUGGCUCGAAGUAGUGCUGAGGCUGAGUAUCGAUCCAUGGCACACGGAAUUUGUGAAAUAUUGUGGCUCAAGAGAUUUUUGGAAGAACUAAGAAGACCUGUGAGUUUUCCAAUGAAGUUGUAUUGUGACAAUAAGGCUGCCAUAAGCAUUGCUCAUAAUCCAGUUCAACAUAAUAGAACAAAGCAUGUUGAAGUGGACAGACACUUCAUUGAAGAGAAGAUUGAAGAUGGAAGUGUGUGCAUUCCUUUUGUGCCAACAACAGAACAAGUUGCAGAUAUUUUCACAAAAGGUCUUUUCAGAACUACUUUUGAGUCCUUUGUGAGCAAGUUAGGCAUGUUUGAUAUUUACAUGCCAACUUGAGGGGGAGUGUUGAAUGAGUAGGCAGAUUUAGUCAUAAUCUGCUCCACCAUUGAGCUGGCAGAUUUGAUUAGAAUCUGCUCCACAAAUAAAGCUGGCAGAUUUGAUUAGAAUCUGCUCCACAAAUAAAGCUGGCAGAUUUGAUUAGAAUCUGCUCCACAAAUAAAGCUGGCAGAUUUGAUUAGAAUCUGCUCCACAAAUAAAGCUGGCAGAUUUGAUUAGAAUCUGCUCCACAAAUAAAGCUGGCAGAUUUGAUUAGAAUCUGCUCCACAAAUAAAGCUGGCAGAUUUGAUUAGAAUCUGCUCCACAAAUAAAGCUGGCAGAUUUGAUUAGAAUCUGCUCCACAAAUAAAGCUGGCAGAUUUGAUUAGAAUCUGCUCCACAAAUAAAGCUGGCAGAUUUGAUGAGAAUCUGCUCAUGUGAAUAUGGGAUUAGAAUAUAUUAUUCUAGGAAAAUAGUUUAGAGGAAAUCCCUUGAUUCAAGGAUUUCCUAAGAAUUAGGGAUUGAUUAGUUUAAUUGGUCUUUACUUGUUCUCUUAUAAAUAUUGUACAAACACUAUGAAUAAAAUAUACUUUUGCAGUAUCUAAACUUUCAGUUAUCAUCGUCUAUCAUCACCCAAUUAUGCCUCUGUAUCGUCUUUGUCCUCUAUCUCCAUUUCUAAGACUACAGGUGAAGCACUUUCUCAUUCUGGAUGGAGGCAGGCUAUGGUUGAUGAGAUGUCUGUUUUGCAUAAGAGUGGUACUUGGGAGCUUGUCUCUCUUCCUGCAGGUAAAUCUACCGUUGGUUGUCGUUGGGUUUAUGCAGUCAAAAUUGAUCUAGACGGUCAGGUUGAUCGGCUCAAGGCUCGCCUUGUUGGCAAAGGGUAUACUCAGAUAUUUGGGCUAGAUUAUAGUGACACUUUUGCCCCUGUGGCUAAAAUAGCAUAUGUUCGUCUUUUUCUAUCUAUGGUUGUCAUUCGUCAUUGGUCUCUUCAUCAGUUGAACAUUAAGAAUGCUUUUUUGCAUGAUGAUCUUGAGGAGGAAGUCUAUAUGGAGCAACCACCUGGUUUUGUUGCUCAGGGGGAGUCUAGUAGCCUUGUAUGUCGAUUGCGUAGGUCACUUUAUGGUCUGAAGCAGUCUCCUAGAGCUUGGUUUGGGAAGUUCAGCACAGUUAUUCAACAAUUUGGCAUGACUCAUAGUGGAGCUGAUCACUCUGUGUUUUAUCGACAUUCUGCAACAAAUCGAUGUAUCUAUUUGGUUGUGUACGUUGAUGAUAUUGUUAUUACUGGUAAUGAUCAAGAUGGUAUCACCAAAUUGAAGCAGCAUCUCUUUAAGCACUUCCAAACUAAAGACCUUGGCUAAAGACCUUGGCAGAUUGAAGUAUUUUCUCGGUAUUGAGGUUGCUCAGUCUAGAUCAGGUAUUGUUAUAUCUCAACGCAAGUAUGCCUUAGACAUUCUUGAGAAGACGGGAAUGAUGGGAUGUAGACCUAUUGACACUCCUAUGGAUCCUUCUAGGACAGGGGGAGCCACUUAGUAAUCCUGAAAGGUAUAGACGACUCGUUGGAAAAUUGAAUUAUCUCACAGUAACUAGACCUGACAUCUCUUUUCCUGUGAGUGUUGUAAGUCAGUUUAUGACUUCGCCUUGUAAUAGUCAUUGGGAUGCAGUUGUUCGUAUCCUGCGAUAUAUAAAGUCAGCUCCUGGUAAAGGACUACUCCAUGAGGAUCGAGGCCAUGAGCAUAUCACUGGAUAUACAGACGCUGAUUGGGCAAGAUCACCCUCUGAUAGACGUUUGACAUCCGGAUAUUGUGUUUUAGUAGGAGGUAAUUUGGUGUCGUGGAAAAGUAAGAAACAAAGUGUGGUUGCUCGAUCUAGUGCAGAAUCAGAAUAUCGAGCAAUGGCGACAGCAACUUGUGAGCUAGUUUGGAUCAAACAGUUGCUGGGAGAACUAAAAUUUGGCAAAGUUGAUCAGAUGGAACUUGUGUGUGAUAAUCAAGCGGCUCUUCAUAUCGCAUCAAAUCCAAUAUUUCAUGAAAACACUAAGAACAUUAAGAUUGACUAUCACUUUGUCAGAGAAAAGAUACUCUCAGGAGAUAUUGUUACGAAAUUUGUGAAGUCAAAUGAUCAGCUUGCAGAUAUCUUCACCAAGUCCCUCACAGGUCCUCGUAUUAAUUACAUUUGUAACAAGCUAGGUACAUAUGAUUUGUAUGCACCGGCUUGAGGGGGAGUGUUAGAAUAGAAAUAUGUAUAUAUAUUCCUACUUAGAAUAUGAAGAAGAAUAGAAAUAGGAAUCCUAAUUAGAAAAGGAUUUCAAUGUAUUGUCUAUAAAUAGGGUCUCAAUGUAACAAUUUAGAUACACAAUUCAAUAUUAUUUUUCCCAUAUAUUUCUCACAGAUAAUAUAGCCGAUUCUUAGGGAUUUGAAUAUUUAGUUACCAUAGUUAGCUUAUACUCUCCAUGUAUUAAUAUCAUUGUUCUCUUUGAGUAAUAUACAAAUUAUUCUCAAUAUCUUAUGAAUUACAUGGUAUCAGAGCCAAUGUUGAGUUGGUAUUUUUUCUUUGCCAGAAGUCACUAUGACUUCGCCAGAAUCCACUGUGGCUUCACCGGAAGUGAUUGAGAUUUCCAAAAUCUCUGUCACCACCCACUUAGCUACUUCCCACCAUCUUAAACUCCUAGAUCUCGGCAGCUGGAAGUCACUCGUGUGAGAGUCACGCUCCACUAUUACCCUUUCCGGUGAGACUGCAGUAGUGAUGCUGCAUCAGAUUUGGUGGUUGUUUGUUCAACAGACCACUACGAUUUGGGAGACUUGCUUGUUUCUGACCAAUAAUCGGGUGGUCUCUCUGUGUCGGGCAACUCCUGGUAGUGUUUUGACAUUUUUUUCCUAGGGAUUUCUGCUAAUAUUUGAUGUUUCGAGUUCACUCAUGUCGUACAAUUUUUACUGGCAUUGGGAUUUUGUUGUAGCAUCAUCAAGUUUUGCUCUUCAAUCAACACUUCUACUUGGCUAUUUAUUUGAUGAUUUUCUGAUUUUUCAGGAGCUAUUUUUGGGUCUCUGAUUUGUUGGAUAGCUAGCCUUGAGUGGAAUUGGUGUGGGGAAGAACUGUUACUUUGAUUAUUGAUCCAAAAUAGGUUACUGUCUAUCUUGGGUAUUGUCUAAUUUUAAGAUAUAAUCUGGUUGGACUAGUUGGUUUCUCCAUCAAUUCAUUUUGGUAUAGUAAGUAUUUUUGUUGGGAAAAUGACCGACUGUAAUUAGAGAACUCAAAGGUCUAAAGUUGUCCAUCAAUUCAUUUUGGUAUAGUAAGUAUUUUUGUUGGGAAAAUGACCGACUAUAAUUAGAGAAUUCAAAGGUCUAAAGUUGUUGGUGCUUGUAGUCCAUUAUCUAACAAAAUGGUCCUAAUUUCGGCAGAGGAGUUUAUUAAAUUCUCUCAAUACCAUAAAUUCUUGAAGGAUCCACUUAAGUUAAUUCCUUUGUUGAAUCAAAUGAAACAUAUCUUAUCACCUCUUCAAAUAAACGGGAUUUUGAUUCGGGUGCCACAAAUCACAUGACAGGUAAUCAUAAUAUUUUUCUUGCUUUCAAGCACACAGAGCACCCUCUCUGAUUACCAAAGCUGAUGGAUCAACUUGCAACAGUGUUGGAUAUGGGACGGUUAGACUAAUCUUUUCUAUUACUCUAUCAUUUGUAUUAAGUCUACCAAAGUUGGCCUUUAAUUUAUUUUUGUUAGCCAAGUUACUAAGUUACUGGAGACUUUAAUUGUUAUAUUUCAUUCUUUCCCAAUCAUUGUUUGUUUCGCGAUCAUAAGACGAAUCAGGUUAUUGGUAAAGGACAUGUAUUUAACAAUCUCUACUUCCUUGAUGAAUGGGAGCCUAGAUUUGUUGCCUGCUCUACUGUUGUGUCUCUAUAUGAAGCACAUUAUCGGUUGAGACAUCUUUCUCUACCACUAUUAAAGAAGUAAUGUCCUCAAUUUCAUAAUACUUCUUCAUUAGAAUAUGAGUCAUGUCACCCCCAAGGCCUAGCUCAAAUGGCAAAAGGUGGAGGAUUUGUGGCUUAGGUCACAGGUUCAAGCCCCACACCAUGCAAAGCGAAGCCCGGUAUUUAAGUGGAGAAGGGUAGUGGGGCGGGCCCAUUAUCUCCGGAGUUUAGAAGGCUGUGAUUGGUCCAAAGGGCGGGUCACAGACGGAUUUCUCGGUUAUCAAAAAAAAAAGAAUGUGAGUCAUGUCGAUUUGCAAAACGUCAUCGCAACUCAUUAAGUCCAAGGGUUAAUAAGCAGGUCAGCUUUUGAGUUAGUUCAUUCUAAUAUUUGGGGACCAUAUCCUGUCAUUUCCAAAUUUGGGCAUAAGUAUGUUGUUACUUUUGUGGAUGACUUGGAUUUCUUCUAUGCAGAUCUGCUCGAAAGUGUUUACUCACUUUUGUGCCUUCUGUGUUGAAGUCAAAAUACAAUUCAAUGCUUUGGUACGUAUUCUAAGGAGUGACAAUUCAUAUGAGACAACAGGCAUUCUCCAUCAGUCUUCAUACGUCGAUACACCUUCUCAAAAUGGAGUUGCUGAGAGGAAGAAUAGGCACUUACUUGAGACAGCUCGAGCUCUUUUAUUCCAAAUGAAGGUUCCUAAACAACUUUGGGCAGAUGUGAUCUCUCCAACUUGUUUUUUGAUUAAGUGCAUGCAAUCUAUUGUGUUUGGAAGCACAUGUUAUGUUCGAGAUGUUCGACCAUCUGUUACCAAGUUGAAUGCAAAAGCAUUGAAGUGUGUUUUUCUGGGCUAUUCUCACCUUCAAAAGGGGUAUUGAUGUUAUUCUACCAAACUUAGCAAAUAUUUGGUGUCAACUAAUGUGGUAUUUUCAGAGACUACCCCGUUCUUCUAUGCACCUCCUUUUUCUACAAGUCAAGGAGAGAAAAAUGAGUGGUUAGUCUAUCAGGUCACUCAUGUUUUGACAAAAGAAUCAGAUGUUGUCCCUCCAUCUCUCAAUUUUUCUAUUAAGGACCAAUCGACUAUUGUUUCAGAAGCUCCUUCUCCAUUUGAUGUGGCAAGACCGCCAAUUGUUCAAGUUUACUCGAAGAGGCGAGGGGUUGAUGAUACAUGUCUUGCACCAAUUCCUUUGUCAUUAGAUCCUCAUUCAUCUGAUCCUCCACAAGAUCUUGACCUCCCUAUUGCUCUUCGCAAAGGUACACAUAGUUUCAAAUCCUGGUAUUCCAUUAGUAAUUUGUUUCCUAUGGCCACUUAUCCUCUAUGUCUAGAUCUUUGAUUGAUUACUUCUCUAGACUCUAUUUCUAUACCCAAAAGGCCUUGAAUCAUUCUGGAUGGUCUGAUGCAAUGCUUGACGAAAUACAUGCCUUAGAAGAAAAUCACAUGUGGGAUUUAGUGGAUUAACCCAAGGGAAAGAAAUUAGUGGGAUGUAAUUGGGUCUUCAUAGUGAAAGUUAAGAUGGAACUAUAGCAAGACUUAAAGUUAGACUUGUAGCUGAAGGGUAUGCUCAAACAUAUGGGGAAGAUUAUUCACACAUUCUCCCCAGUUGCCAAGGUCAUUUAUGUCCGCUUAUUCAUUUCUCUAGUUGCUUCUGAGAAUUGGCCUUUACAUAAGUUAGAUAUUUUUUUAUUUUUUUUCGAUGACCUAGAAAUCCGUCUGUGACCUGCCCUUUGGACCAAUCACAGUCUUCUAAACUCGGUGGAUAAUGGACCCGCCCCUCUACCCUUCUCCACUUAAAUACCAGGCUUCGCUUUGCAUGGUGUGGGGCUUGAACCUGCGACCUAAGCCACAAAUCCUCCAUUUUUUGCCACUUGAGCUAGGCUUGGGGGCCAUAAGUUAGAUAUUAAGAAUGCAUUCUUUCAUGGUGGUCUUCGAGAAGAUGUGUAUAUGGAGCAAAACCACCUGGUUUUAUUGCUCAGGGGGAGUAUGGGGAGUCUGUCAUAUGAAGAAGUCCUUGUAUGGAUUGAAGCAGAGUCCUCGAGCUUGGUUUGGAAAGUUCAAUAAGGUAGUUCAGAAUUUUGGGAUGAAAAUGAGCAAAUGUAAUCACUCGUUCUUUUACCAACAACCAACAUCUGGCACUAUCCUCCUUGUUGUAUAUGUUGAUGACAUUGUCAUCACAGUAAGUGAUUAUGUGGGAAUCUCUUCCCUCAAAUCUUUCUUGCAUACUAGGUUUCAUACAAAUGACUUGGGUCCGUCGAAAUACUUUUUGAGAGUAGAAGUAAACAGAAGCAAGAAGAGAAUUCUUCUGUCUUAGAGAAGUAUAUCCUUGACCUGCUUGCAGAUAUCAGAAAGUUAGCAGCCAAACCCUGUAGUACUCCAAUGGUUCCCAAUGUGCAUUUUAUGAAAGAUGAUGGUGAUUCUUUUGAUGAUCUCGAGAGAUAUAGAAGGUUAGUUGGGAAGUUAAACUACCUUAUUGUGACUCGUCCAGAUAUUGCUUUUGCGAUAAGUGUUGUUAGCCAAUUCGUGUCUGCACCUACGAUCAAACAUUAGGAAGCUUUGGAACAGAUCCUAUGUUACUUAAAAGGAGCUCCUAGACUUGGCAUAUUGUAUAGCAAUCACGAUCAUACUCGUGUGGAGUGUUUUGGAGAUGCUGGACUUGGCAUAUUGUAUAGCAAUCACGGUCAUACUCGUGUGGAGUGUUUUGCAGAUGCUGACUAGGCUGGAUCCAAAAUUGAUAGAAGAUCUACUACAGUCUAUUGUGUUUUUGUUGGAGGGAACCUAGUAUCAUAAAGGAGUAAGAAUUAAGGUAUUGUAUCUCGAUCCAAUGCACAAUCUGAAUAUAGAGCUAUGUUACAGUCUAUAUGUGGAUACAUCAUCUUUUAUCUGAAAUUGGGUUGAAACAUCAUACCCUAGCAUAACUCUAGUGUGAUAAUCAAGCUUCUCUUCAUAUUACCUCAAAUCCGGUGUAUCGCGAAAGAACUAAACAUAUUGAAGUUGAUUGUUGUUUUAUUCGUGAGAAGAUUCAGGAGAAUUUGAUUUCCUUUGGCUAUGUGAAGACAAGAGACCAACUAACUGAUUUGUUUACAAAAGCGUUGAAUGGAACUCGAGUUGAUUACCUUUGUAACAAGCUGGGCAUGAUCAAUAUCUAUGUUCCAGCUUGAGGGGGAGUGCUACAGAAUCUGUAUAAUAAUGAAUAUAGAUAAUAUAGUUGAUUUUAGGGAUUUGAAUAUUUCGUUACCAUAGUUGGCUUAUUCUCUCCAUGUAUUUAUAUCAUUGUUCUCUUUGAGUAAUGUACAAGUUAUUCUCAAUACCAUACGAAUUAUAUGGAAUUUUCACAACACAUGUGUUUGGCCUAAUCAACAUUGAAUUCACAUUUUCAAUUCAUUAGACAAAAGUUCAACAUGUCACACACGUUGUCCAUUCUAACCAAUGGAAAAUUGAUAAUUUAAUCAUCUUCUUGAUUAAAGUAGGUGUCUCAUCAUAAAUGUUAGAACAUGAAUAGGUUUAUACAAUCCUAUUAGAAUAGAAAUAGGUUUAUACAAUCCUAUUUAGAAUAAGAAUAGGAAUAGUAAAUAGUAUUAGUAGGUAAAGGUUUGUAUUCUACUGUCUAUAAAUAUGAUCUCAAUGUAAUAAUGUACACACAACAGCAAUUCAAUAAUAUUCUUCUCUUAUAUUUCUCACAUGGUAUCAGAGCCUCUACGAUCUUGGUAGAGAAUCAAAGAGCUUUCGCAGCCGACGGGUGGCUAUUACCCAUAUAUGUUGUCCGUCUGGCCAAUGAUUAUGUUAACAAAAGUAGGAUCAAUGAUAUAUGCAUGAACAUAUUCAAGGGAAGAAAACUCAGUUAAACAGGUCACCGUGCGUCAAUUUCCGGUGAUUUUCUAGGACUGUUUUAUGUCCACCCCAUAUCUGUCGGUAUUUGUGUAGCACUGUGCCAUCUUUUCGGUGACUAAUUUUUCAUAUUUAAUUUGUGUAGCACCGUUCCAUCUUUCUGGUGACUACCUUUUUUUGCAUAUUUGAUUUGUGUAGCACCGUGCAUCUCUCUGGACUACUUUUCAUAUUUAAUUUGUGUAGUAUCGUGGAUUUUUCCGAACUACUUUCUCACAUCUAAGUUGCAUAGCACCGUGUGUCUUUUCAGUGACUCCUAAGAUUUGAUUUAUUUGAUUUGCAUAGUUCCAUUCGUCUUUCCGGUGACUCCUCAAAUCUGAUUUCUGUAGGGUUGUGCCAUCACUCUGACCCUACCCAUAUUAUUUCUCUUUUCCAAUAGGGUCGUGCCAUCAAUCCGACCUUUCCUAAAUAAUUUCUAUUUUCUAGUUGGGUCGUGCCAUUAUUCCGACCCUACCCAUAUAAUUUUAUUUCUUAGAUUAUGACCACUUUCAGCCAUCAAAUCUAAUACUCCGGCGUAUGAGCAUGUUUCGGCCAAUUUUUGGUGACUUUCUUGUUUAAUAUAGACUCAUCUAUUGAUUCCAACACGAUAUAUAUACUUUACUUUAUACUAGAUUUUGAGCACUUUGUUGCUCGGGGGAAUUUAGUGCCUUGUAUGUCGAUUAUGUGAGUCACUCUAUGGUCUGAAACAGUCUUUGCAAGUUUAGUUUGGGAAGUUCAACACUGUAAUUUUAUCACUCUGUGUUUUAUUGACAUUAUGCAUCAAAUUUAGUAUUUCAUGAGAAAAUUAAGCACAUUGAGAUUGACUGACAUUAUGCGUCAAAUCCAAUAUUUAAUGAGAAGACAAGCACAUUGAGAUUGACGGUCAAAUUUGUGAAGUCGGCUGAUCAACUUGCAGAUAUCUCACCAAGCUCUUCAUUGGUCCUCGUAUUAAUUACAUUUGUAACAAGCUACGUACAUGAAUUGUAUGCACUAGCUUGAGGGGGAGUGUUAGAAUAUGAAUAGGUUUAUACAAUUCUAUUAGAAUAGGAAUAGNNNNNNNNNNNNNNNNNNNNNNNNNNNNNNNNNNNNNNNNNNNNNNNNNNNNNNNNNNNNNNNNNNNNNNNNNNNNNNNNNNNNNNNNNNNNNNNNNNNNNNNNNNNNNNNNNNNNNNNNNNNNNNNNNNNNNNNNNNNNNNNNNNNNNNNNNNNNNNNNNNUUUAUACAAUCCUAUUAGAAUAGGAAUAGAUUUAUACAAUCCUAUUAGAAUAGGAAUAGAUUUAUACAAUCCUAUUAGAAUAGGAAUAGAUUUAUACAAUCCUAUUAGAAUAGGAAUAGAUUUAUACAAUCCUAUUAGAAUAGGAAUAGAUUUAUACAAUCCUAUUAGAAUAGGAAUAGAUUUAUACAAUCCUAUUAGAAUAGGAAUAGAUUUAUACAAUCCUAUUAGAAUAGGAAUAGAUUUAUACAAUCCUAUUAGAAUAGGAAUAGGUUUAUACAAUCCUAUUUAGAAUAGGAAUAAGAAUACAAAUAGGAAUAGGAAUAGUAAAUAGUAUCCUACUUGGUAAAAGAUUGUAUUCUAGUGUCUAUAAAUAGGAUCUCAAUGUAAUAAUAUAGACACAACAACAAUUCAAUAAUAUUUUUCCCUUGUAUUUCUCACAGUAAAGAAAGAAAGGGUAAAAAUAGGACCAUUGUAUACCGUUUCCCAAAUCCAAAAAGAGGAUAUGGAUAAGAAUUUGUAAAAAUCAUUAGACAUGAGUUCAACAUGUCACCCCCGUUCUUCAUUCUAAAUAUAGAUAAGAAAACGUUGAAAUUCCCCUAAGACCAUUUCAGUCAAUUUGACAAGUGUUCUAGUGAUUUCCAUCCAUAACUUUGUGAAUGCUCUUCUGGAACCAGUGGUUGUAUGGAAGUGGUCAAAACUUCACCACUUAACAGUUGAAUAACCUAGCUUAGUAGUGUCACUGAUUGAUUUGGUACUCUUGCUGUGUAAGGUGACUGCCAGUAAAAAAGACAAUAUUGCCACCCAGUAACAACUGAUAUGAUCCAUAGGAGAUAAAAAUCCUGAACAUGAGCAAGAAAAUAACCUAAAGCCCGACAGAAUCACUAGAAGCACACACUUGUAAGAAGAAAAUCCUUAUUUCAGAAGCAUCAACUAGCAGGACUGAGAAAUAUAGGCAGGAUAAAAAAUAGUCUAAUUGUACAAUGAUAAGAAAUAGCUGUAUAAAUAUGACAUUAGAUCACAGUUUACAAGAAGCAUAGUCCAUAUUAACUAUGUAUUAUCUGCAUACAUAAAAGUUAAACAUGAAGCUGCUCUUCAAGGCUUCUUUAUGGUCUCCAGGAUCCCCAGGUAGCUUAGUAUGACUAGGUUCAUUUAAAAUUCCAGAUGCUUUAAGAGUGUCUAUAGUAGAGCAUGGGUUAUCCAGGUAGCUUAGCAUGAAUAAGUUCAGUUAAAUAUUUUAGAUGUUUUAUGAGUCUAUAAUAUUUAUUUAGAAGAUUCAUAAGUGAGAGUCUCAGCAGAGCAUUCUCAAUAAGAACUAGAAAACAUACUAGAUGCAGAUACCCAAGGGCAGCAAAACUUAACCAUUGCAAACAGUGAAAAUAAGGAUAAGAGCUUUCAGUCUCUUCAGUCAUUAGCUAAAAAGUUAGAAAAAAAUUAUUCUGGGCGAGGCACACAUACUGUCAGUUGUGUGAGGCCUCUUUUGGCUGCCACAUGUAUACUGUGGGACCCAUAAUGUACUUAUUUCCUUACUUUUUCUUUUCCAAUUUUAAUCUUUUCUUUUACUUUUUCUUUCUUACCAGCAUUUUCUUUUUUGUUUGUUAAUUCUUAGUGUAAAUUUUAUUUUUUAUUUUUUGUUUUAAUAAAGAAACUUUGAAACUCACCCCACGGUAUCUAUUAUAUAUUUUAUAAAUCUAUUACUAUUUAUUUUGUAGGGGAAAUUAAAGUAAUAUGUCGAAAAAUUAAAUUUAUUUAUUUUUGGAUGAAUUCAAGAAAAAUUGAGGAUAGUGAAUUUAAAAAAAAUUGAAAAUUUCUUCAAUAAAGUAAAAAUUCAUGUAAUCAACCAAUUGAACUACUAAAAUUCAAUCGGCAUUAUUUAUUAUACUUAAAUAUAUAAUUUAAUUUUAAUUAUUUAAAUUUUAGUCUCUUUUAUUUUGAGAUUUCAAUUUUAAUCACUCAAUUCUUAGUUAUCAAAUAUGUUUUUUUUAUUUUUGUUUAUGCUUAAUAUUAAUAAUAAUGUAUUAAUGAUAUCAAACACUCAAUUAUCUUUUCUUUUCCAGAUUUGUUAAAUUUUCCACUUCUAUGGCAUGUAUCCAAUAAAUAUUGCCAAUAUUGAUUUUGUGUUUCUCGUUAAAGAUUUUUUUUUAUGUUUAGUAUCUUAAAAUGUGAAACGAAACUUUUAUAGAUUCAUUUUUUUCUUGUGGGUUACGAAAAUUAAUAGAAAAAAGAGUCAACCAAAUGAAUUUGUGAAAGCACAAAAUAAAUAAUUGCAUGAAUAUAUUUAUUUUCACUAAAGGUAGGACUACAAAAAAAAAAAAAAAGGCAGUAAAAAUAUUGGUAAAGAAAAGGGUAAAAUUUGAGAAAAUGGAAGUGAGGGAGAGACAGUGUGACAAUAAGAGGGACCCACAGAAAACACAUGUCAAAAGGAAAUGGUGCCCUCACACAACUAUUGUUGGUUGUGCCUCAACCACCAUAAAAUUUUUCAACAAGUUAAUCUAAGAUGACUUGAAAAUUGUAAGGAUCCAGGUAAAAUAAUGUCAGACCUUGAUAAAAAUGCAGGUUAUUAAAGCCGCUGAAUAUAUUAGUUGGCUAUUUGAGCAUAUGAUUACCCAAAAGUUGGUUUUCUAUCAAUUGAAGAUUCGUUGGAAGAGUCGGUUCUUUUGGGGAAAUAAGAAGCCUUGCCUUUGUGCCAGACAGUGAUAACAGGGUAAUAAAUGCUAAUGAAAGAACACACCACGAGUUCCUUUCAGAGAACUAGGAGGUGGAGCUGACCUUCAAAUGCAAGAAUGUAAAAGCCUACAAUGAUGCUAGUGCCAAGAACACAAGUUGGAGUUUCAUGGUCAAUGAUCUGCUACUAUGACCUUUUCUAUAAGCAACUCGAGUAAGAGCAUAGAUGAGUUGAAGAUGGAGUUUUGUUUGGUUAUAGUUUAUGAAAACAAUAUUUGGUUGGUUGAAUAUCCUUUUCAUAAAAAUACAUCAAAUAUUAAUUUUAAUGGGGUCAUUUUUACAAAAUAAAAAAUUGAGGGUAAAAUUUGAAAAAGAAAAAUAUAUUUGUUAGAAUAGGAAUAUGAAUUAGUAUAUAGAAUCCUACUUGGUUCUCACAUGGUAUCAAAGCAUCAGUGAGAAAAUAUAUGUAGUGCAAUAUUCUAGCGAAGUUCCAGGAGAAAAAUCACCACCAUGCAUAAUUUUUCCGGUGGCUGCUCAGUGCUCACAUCACAAUCUUUAUCUAGUAGUGUUGUGCAAAAUCCGACACUACCACAGCAUAGAUCACGUUCAGUCGAGAAAACCCUAGUUUGUCGCUCCAAGAAAACAAUCCCCCAUGUGGUCUCACGCGCUUCUCGAAGGUCCUACACCUGCGUGUGAGAAAUCUUUUGGCCACUUAUCUAUCAGAUUUCUUUUUCCAGUAGGUCAUCCGUCAUUCCGACCAUACUCAUAUAAUUUUCCAAAUCACUUUGUGCCUGUCAGAUCUAAUUUUGCAGUGACACAAAUAAGUCUUUACCAGAUUCCAACAACGACUUAUAUUUCUUUUCAGAAUUUAGGUUACAAAAUUCUAAUUUCACAAGUUGUCUUAGAGACUCCUAGCAUUACCGUCUCAUCCAUGUUGGACACUUGGAGCAUGUCAUAGUUCAAGCUUGUCCAACCACAAGCUAUUUUCAAAAUGAAAUAGGAUUCCUCCUCUAACAUGCUAGAAAUUUAGAGCAUAGCAUAUGAAAUCCUUAAUGUACUUCCACAUAAUGGCACCUAUUUGCGUCUCAAACGAUUGCAGUUUGUAAUUGCCUCUUUAUCUCUUUUAACUACUCAUAAUUGUUGAUGUAUAAUAACCCUUUCUCCAUGUCGACAUACAGUCAUCUCCACCAAAGCAUAGGGAUAUCCUUUAGGAGCAUUGAUGUAAGGUUGACUAUUGCAAGAUUAAACUAUGUUUCAAUUCAAGUGCUAAAUUGGUUAUAUAAGAUCAUAAUUACUAAAUAGAAAUAAUUUAUUAAAAUAACAUAUGAUUAUUAGUAAUCUAAUUGUAGUGUGUAAGUCAAAAGACAUACUUAAAAUUGCAAAAUUAUUUUUAUAUUACAAAAAUUAACUUUGUGACUUCAAUGCAAUGAAUUAAAAGUUAAAUGAACAUUUCUAUGAAAUUAACCACUUGGAUUAUUCAAAUACUAAAGAAAGAGAUUAACUACUUGUCCAAUAUUACUUCUGAUUAAAGAAGGCAAUCAAAUAGAUGUUCCUCUAACGCUAGAAAGAGAGCUCAAAAAUGAGGUCAUCAUAGAUCCACCCCCUCCCUCCGUCUUUCCAAUUAAAGAGAACAAAGAAGAAAAGGCACAAAUAUUUGCAUCCAAUCAUAUAAACAUACACUUCUUUUAAUGUGGGGAUAAUGUAAAGAAGAGGAACAUAAAAUGAUAGAUGGGAACUCCAUUAAUGUGGAAGGAGUGGUGGAGACAAAUUAAACAAUGGAGUCAAACUAAUUGAAAUUACAUGUGAAGAAAAAGAAAAAAAGGACUAAGUGAGGCAACGAAACAACUUAAGGUUUAAAAGGAAUAUGCAAAGGUCCUGAUCUUUUCGAACCAAAAAUGUGUGCUCGAUCUAGAGCUCGUAGACUACUAUCGCAUGCUCAUAAACCAAGUUUAACAUUUAGAGCUGUCAAUAUGGGCUGGCCCACCCCAUCCGAGCUAACCCAUACAGGCUUUGAAAUUUGACGGGUCAGGCCAGGCUAGCCCAUUUUUGGUGUGGGCCAGAAAAUGGUCGGCCCAGCCCACAAGUACGUGGGCUACGGGCUUGCCGGGCCAGCCCUCUUUUCGUAAAAAUAUAUUUUUUAUAAUUUUUUAAAUUAAAUUAUAAUUUAAAAUAUUAUCAUAAAUAUUGACAAGAUAAUAUUACAUGGUGUUAGUGUUACUACUUGUUAAUUAAAUCCACAAAUAAAAUUAUCUUUAUAAUAUUUAUUAAGUUUGAUUUCAAGUAAAAGCAUAAAUAGCUAAAUAAAAAUCUAAACCUAAUUGUGUUCCAAUAAUCAUAAUAAAACACAAAAAACUAUGACAAUAUUCCAUAGGCUACGGCCUAUGUAGUGAUUCCUAGAAAUUUUAGGGUAUUUUUAUUUUACGUAAUACGUAUUUUAUAAACAUAAUUUGUAUUUAAAUUGUAAUAUUUCAAACUUUAAACUGAUCUUGAGUUUAGACUCUUGUUAAUUUUAAUACUCUAUUUUAUUUUUUAUUUUUUAAUUAAUUUUUAUUUGGCCCACGGGCCGGCCCUAUCCAUAUUUCUCAAUUCCCACAAAUCGGCAGGCUUAUUCAGGCCAGGCUAAAAAGUCCUUUCUUAAAUGGCUCCAAAAAUCGCAGCCUAGCCCUAUCAAAUCCCGGGUUAGGCCAGACCGGCCCAACGGUCCUAGCCCAUAUUGACGGCUCUAUUUAACAUCCAAUGGUAGUAAUAUAAAGCAACAAUUUAUCCCCAAGUUUUGGAAGACAUACAAUAACAGGUCUUCCAAGGAAGAAGAUGUUGAGUAUUUGUUGGGCACACAAUUGGUUGCUCCCAAUUGAAUUUUAUAUAGCAAAGUAAAGAACUCCUUCGAUUUUAUAAUUCUUACACUCAAUUUUUCAUGCACUCACACUCGAGCAAACUCUCUAUGUUACUCUCUCUUAUUUCUCACUUGAUCAUUCCUUACUUGAGCUCAACCUAUUUGAGCGCACACUCUUUAUUUGGGUACACCUUAUUGAGCAUACACACAUCUCAAAUGAACCACCUCUAUUUAUAAGUGGUGAUGGAAGAAUUUAGUUAAGGAUAUUUACUACUCUAUUCUAGAAUGUUUCUCCAACUAUUUAAUUCUAAAACGACUCUUUCUAUAAUAUUUCUAGACUUCUGUGAGGAAUACUCAUUCUAGAGAUCCUUCUUCAAUUCUUCUACAACUAUUGAAUAAUCUAGAUUUUUCUUUGAAAUAUCUUAAAUAUUAAUUAAGUUGGUGAUAAAUACUUAACACUACCCCUCAAUGCCAACUUAAUGUGUUAUGUGUGUUCGUCAUGAGCGAUCCCUGAAACUCUACAAGCAACAUGAUGUCCAUGCCCUUUCAAAAUCUCAAUCUCUGCCGGAUUACUCUGAUCCCUAUGCUUUAAAGCUUUUUCAAAGGUAGUAGACUAUUCGAUCUUGACCACCUCAACUAAUUUUUGUUGCAUAUGUAUAUUUGUCGUUUGGGCAUUUCAGUCGUGUCGAUCUUCUUAGUUGAGGUUGUAGAGCUUAUUGGACUCCUUACAACUCUUGAGGGGUUUCAUGUACUCUAGUUUGCCAUGGGAUCUUAUUUUAUCCUUUUGAAGAUAGCUCUUUUGUAUGUGAUUUGUAUUUUCCCUAUACCUUCUUCAAGUUAAUGUUGUAACUCUUGCUCUAGUUCUCUUGAAUCUGGUACGACUGAUUUGUACCACCAUGUUGGUGCUUCAUCAAAUACCACAUAAGGUAUUUCAGCUGGUAUGCCAUAGAUUUACUCUAAUCUUCUUCUCUAGAUGAUUGACGUGCUUGUGACUUUCAAAUUUUGAUAUACUUUAUGUCAUUUGGCCCAAACAAGACAACUUCCUGAAUUUGUUAGUUGUGACACAGAUAUAAGUUCGUCAUAGACAUGAUAGAUAUUUUGAAGUUCCACUUGUCUCGGGCUAUGACGAAGCACAAACACGUCUUACCAAUAUUAUAAGUUAUUGGCAUUUUUGAAUUACUUGUAGUCACCACUACUUACCACCUUUAUAUUCGCUCAUGUCGAUAAGCUUUUCACAUCACUUGUCAUAUGAUUGGAGCAUCACAAAUUAAUGAUUCAAUCAUAUGCUCAUAACUGAUAAGUUUAUCAUUUACAGUUGCAAGAUCUAGCUUCCUUUCUUCGUUAGAGUGAGAGGUGAGAAGCUCUUACGGUUGAUUUAUUUCCGGUAUUCCCAUUCCCUUGGCCGUGAGCUUCUCUUCAUCCCCUUUUUCAGUAGCAUUGCCUUUUGCUGAAGAGUGCCUUAUCUUCAUUUUUUUAAUAAGAACACUUGAUAAUGGUUUCUCCAAAGUCUUCUUCAUUUACCAAUAAAUUUUCCAACACAGAUAAAGUUGGUUCGCUGGCCAAACCAGCGUGUGGCCGUAAUUAUGUCUCUAUACUCCAAGUUUAGACAUGAACCAUGAUUCUCCUCAUCCUUGUCUCUCUGAUAGUAUUCUUUGGAUCUAAUUUUGAUAUUUCAUUAGAUAAACAUUUUACCUUUGAGAAGUAUUGUUUGAUCUUCAUCAUCCGUUGUGAGAUCGACAAAACUCAUUUUCAAGUUGUAAUCGCGCAUCAUUUUUAUCAGAUGAGAUCGUCGUCAAAGUUGCUACCUCAUUCUUUACCCACUCGACUUUAAUACCACUUGUUGAGAAUUGUUGGGCUCAUAACUUGAAUUUCAUUAUGUCAUUGCAAAGUAAGGAUCCACUUCGGUCUUACAAUUCUUUUUUUUUUUAUGACAAGGGAAACCCGCAGCCGCUACCCUUUGGGGGCGCACAGGAUAAAACCCCCGCUCCUAUGUAAUAGCUCGCAAACCACAUAGGAGAGGUAAUCCGCACUAGGCAAGCCCGAUGCGACGAGCUCGACCCAGAAGGCAAACCCCUUGCUUUCGCUGGCAAGGGAUUUCGAACUUGAGAUCUCCAACAUGGAAGUCUCAAGCCCAAACCAUUGGGCCACCCCGAAGGGUUCGGUCUUACAAUUCUUACCCUGUAUUUUUCUUGCACUCACACUCAAGCAACUCUCCUUUGUUGCUCUAUUUUAUUUUUAUCUUGAUCACUCACUUUCUUGUUUAUUUACUUGCUUGAACACUCAAUUUUUACUCGAGUUCAACUCAUUUACGCACUCUCUCUUUACUGAGUAAACCUUGUUGAGCACACACACCUCAAAUGAGCCACUUCUAUUUAUAUGUAGUAAUGGAAGAUUCUAUUUAUAGGUGGUGAUGGGAGAAUCUAGUUAAAGGAUGUUUACUAUUUUAUUCUAGAAUGUACCAACUAUUUAUUUCUACAAUAUUUUUAGACUCAGAGAAUACUCAUACUAGAGAUUUUUUCUUCAAUUCUCUAACACUCUUGAAUAUUUUAGAUUCUUCUUUAAAAUAUAUAUUAAUUAAGUUGGUGAUGAAUACUUACACGGUAGAUUCAUCAAAUUCCUUUCAUCCUUUAUAUCUUAUUGGACAUGCUCUACUAUCCCUAUAGGGCUUCCAAAUCUACAACAAAGAUGCACCCUUAUUCCUAACUUUGCUCUCUUUAGAAACAACCAGAUUAAAGAGUCCAUUCAUAAUUUUCAUGUACUAUGGUAGUAAAAUUUCAACUUUGAUGUGGUUAAUGGGUAUUUCAGUAUUGGUGUCCACAAUAGCAGAGGCGGACCCACCUUUACUAGUGGGGUGCAUGAGCACCCGUUAACUUCGAAAAAAAUCAUGUGUAUAUAUGUAUAUCUAUUUUGAGAAACUACGAUAUAAUUAACAAUGCACCCAUGAGGAGCAUAGGGGUGUUCUUGUGCUGCUUGUACAAGGCAGAGAACCACCGGGUUCGAAUCCAGCUAGAGUGCUAAAUUCAUUCGCCUCUGCACAACAGUAUAUUAUGACAUGCAGUAAACUCUCUACCCAUGUGAAACAUGCUCAAAGGCAAAGAAGACUUUUCUGAAUUCUGAGGCGUGAGGUAGAGCAUGAAAUAAAGACUUAUAUUCCAAUUAAAAUACGUACAAUGUUUUAGACACUGCGUAUGACAUAGGCGUCUGCGUUAGCUUAUAUAGCUUGACUUUAAUCCGAUAGGAAAAAACUGCUUUUGCAAAUAUCUAGGACUCAAAAAGUAUUAGUAUUAUCAUUAUAAUACUUUGUUCGUUAUAUUUUUCUUUUUUAAGUAUGUUAUAAUAAUAAAAAAAGUUUCCAUUAAAGGAUUUAGUGCUUUUUAAAACAUUACAUAUAUAUUUAUAAGGCUAAUUCAAAAAUCAAACUAACACGAGGAAGUAUUAUAAUAGAAAAAUCAAGCAUAUCAGUAUUUUGAAGUAAAAAAAAUAAAAAUAAAGAAGAACCUGUUGGUACUGGAGAAUUCAAAGAGGCGUCCACGGCUGGAGAAGACGAGGACGGCGACAUCAACAUCGCAGAGAAUAGAGAGCUGUUUGGCUUUCUUCAUGAGUCCAUUUCUUCGUUUGGAGAAAGUUGCUUGCCUACUGCUCUUAUCUUCAAUUCGCUUUAUUUCCACUUUCUUCCUUCCCAUUUCUUCAAACUCCCAAACCCUAACUAAUUCUCACAAAUGAAAAUGGCCGUAUAUAAGAAGCUUUGUACCUCCAUCUCCAUCACUUUCACGAAUUUCAUAAAGUGCUAUGAGUUUUAUGGUCUCUCCUCCUUUUUCGAAUCGUCGCAAUAAAGCCUUAAUUUCAUGUUUACUUAUAAUUCCCACGCCUAUUCGUCUUCUACUCUUUAGACCUCUAAUUCUAUUUAUUUUUUUACAGGGGUAACUAGGUGAAUAUAUAUAAAAUAGGGAAAAGUUACAUGUGUGAAAUCCAGCCAAUGAGAGAGCGACACCUGGCUCAAAAUGGAGAUUCCAACGGCGGAGGCGACUGCUAGCGGUGAUGGCGGCGUGGUGUUGUUAAAGAUAUAAGCGGUGAUUGGCUGAAGAAAACGGUGACACAGACUGGGUUGUUUUGAUUUGAAUUAGAAACUAGUAAAAUUAUCCGUACAGAAAUUUAUUAUCAUGAAAUUUCUAAAAUAAUACUUAAAAGGAAAAAUUCUUUUGGCCAGAAAAUUUGGCCAUAAUGGCCCAAAUACAUGUUCACACUAUAAAUUGAUUUAUUUUUUGAUAA